GACGAACGCUGGCGGCGUGCCUAAUACAUGCAAGUAGAACGCUGAAGCUUGGUGCUUGCACCGAGCGGAUGAGUUGCGAACGGGUGAGUAACGCGUAGGUAACCUGCCUGGUAGCGGGGGAUAACUAUUGGAAACGAUAGCUAAUACCGCAUAAGAGUAGAUGUUGCAUGACAUUUGCUUAAAAGGUGCAAUUGCAUCACUACCAGAUGGACCUGCGUUGUAUUAGCUAGUUGGUGAGGUAACGGCUCACCAAGGCAACGAUACAUAGCCGACCUGAGAGGGUGAUCGGCCGCACUGGGACGGAGACACGGCCCAGACUCCUACGGGAGGCAGCAGUAGGGAAUCUUCGGCAAUGGACGGAAGUCUGACCGAGCAACGCCGCGUGAGUGAAGAAGGUUUUCGGAUCGUAAAGCUCUGUUGUAAGAGAAGAACGAGUGUGAGAGUGGAAAGUUCACACUGUGACGGUAGCUUACCAGAAAGGGACGGCUAACUACGUG
RNAcentral lists this ribosomal RNA (497 nucleotides) under uncultured bacterium. RNAcentral describes it as "partial 16S ribosomal RNA". It matches the Rfam family "Bacterial small subunit ribosomal RNA", at positions 28 to 507 of the family's 1533-position model. The record is from RNAcentral.